This 253-nucleotide ribosomal RNA is filed under the name uncultured bacterium. RNAcentral's name for it is "partial 16S ribosomal RNA". It matches the Rfam family "Bacterial small subunit ribosomal RNA", at positions 524 to 776 of the family's 1533-position model. The record is from RNAcentral.
UACGUAGGGUGCGAGCGUUGUCCGGAAUUACUGGGCGUAAAGCGUGCGCAGGCGGCUUUGCAAGACAGAUGUGAAAUCCCCGGGCUUAACCUGGGAAUGGCAUUUGGGACUGCAAGGCUCGAGUGCGGCAGAGGAGACUGGAAUUCCUGGUGUAGCAGUGAAAUGCGUAGAUAUCAGGAGGAACACCGAUGGCGAAGGCAGGUCUCUGGGCUGACACUGACGCUCAUGCACGAAAGCGUGGGGAGCAAACAGG